UACAGAGGGUGCAAACGUUGUUCGGAAUUACUGGGCGUAAAGCGCACGUAGGCGGAUUGUUAAGUCAGGGGUGAAAUCCUGGAGCUCAACUCCAGAACUGCCUUUGAUACUGGCGAUCUUGAGUUCGGGAGAGGUGAGUGGAACUGCGAGUGUAGAGGUGAAAUUCGUAGAUAUUCGCAAGAACACCAGUGGCGAAGGCGGCUCACUGGCCCAUAACUGACGCUGAGGCACGAAAGCGUGGGGAGCAAACAGG
RNAcentral lists this ribosomal RNA (253 nucleotides) under uncultured bacterium. RNAcentral's name for it is "partial 16S ribosomal RNA". It matches the Rfam family "Bacterial small subunit ribosomal RNA", at positions 524 to 776 of the family's 1533-position model. The record is from RNAcentral.